GGAGGCCUAAUUUUUUGAGUUCGCCUUGGGCCCCUAAAAUCACAGGACCGGCCUUGCUAGAAUGUCUAUGCAGUAAUGGUCUAGAGUCGUGAGUUUCUUGUGCAGGCAACAAUAAUAAUUGAUACAAAGCUGUCCUACACAAAUCUGACGGCUCCUCCCAUUUUCCUUUCUCUAUUACAUUCAUGAAAUAGCUUUGCUUCAUUAAUUCCUUGAGCACUAUGAGUGGAAUUUGGUUUCCAACGAAGAACAUGGCCUCAAUCCAUCUUUAAUUUCCUUGUACCUGUUAUUUUUCUUUUGACCAAAUAUGAUAUGGCUAGGAGUAUAGCCAAGUUGCUGGGCACCUCCAAGAACAUACGACACAAGUUGUAGGAAUAAACAACCAUCUUUAAUCAUCAUCCAUCUAAACUCUGGUCCAGACAAAUGAUCCACUGCGCCGUCGUCAUAGGUAGCUCUUGCCUCUUUGUCUAUCUUUUUCAUUGCAGACAAGUGAAUUUCAAUGGUCACCGCUGCCCUGUCUGUGGAGUUUUUCAGUAAAUGCUACCAAGCCUCCCCCUAAAAUACAACUCCGAGGACUUACCGUUGCGGUAAAAUGGACCAAAUCUCGGGUAAGAUUCUUUUAGUUUUGGGCUCUCUUCAUCACUGGUUCCUCUUAACUUACAUAUCCUGCGGCGUGGCCAUUUUGUGUUGUUCAGAGGGGUUGUAUUAGUCUCUCUAGAUUCGUUCUCCAUACCAGAUCCAUGAAUUUUAGCCCCAAACUUCAACCCCAUCUGAUGAGUGUAAUCUUCCCAUUUCAUAACAGGUGACAGUUCUAUCUUCUCUCUAUGCCACUGUAGAGCCUUUCCAUCUAUAUGAAUUGAUGCCAAUUCAACUUUUACGUCAUCCGUUGUUUUAUACAAAUCAAAUAAUUCAUUGCAUUUGUAAACCCACUCAUCAAAACCGUCACCAGAAAACUUGGGAAAUUCAACUGUGGGCAAUCCUGCAGUGCAACAAGGAGAUGGAUUAUUUCUUUCAAUUGAUUCUCCAAUCUUUGUACUAAUAAGAGAACUAACAUGAUUGCUAAAGUCUUCUAGCGACUUGUUUUGACCAUAAAGGAACUCUUC
RNAcentral lists this long non-coding RNA (1100 nucleotides) under Olea europaea subsp. europaea. Lineage: Eukaryota; Viridiplantae; Streptophyta; Magnoliopsida; Lamiales; Oleaceae. The record is from RNAcentral.